This 253-nucleotide ribosomal RNA is filed under the name uncultured bacterium. RNAcentral's name for it is "partial 16S ribosomal RNA". It matches the Rfam family "Bacterial small subunit ribosomal RNA", at positions 524 to 776 of the family's 1533-position model. The record is from RNAcentral.
UACGUAGGGGGCUAGCGUUGUCCGGAAUCAUUGGGCGUAAAGGGCUCGUAGGCGGCCAACUAAGUCAUACGUGAAAUCCCUCAGCUUAACUGGGGAACUGCGUGUGAUACUGGAUGGCUUGGAUUUGGGAGAGGGAUGCGGAAUUCCAGGUGUAGCGGUGAAAUGCGUAGAUAUCUGGAGGAACACCGGUGGCGAAGGCGGCAUCCUGGACCAAUAUUGACGCUGAGGAGCGAAAGCUAGGGGAGCAAACGGG